CCUACGGGAGGCAGCAGUGGGGAAUAUUGCACAAUGGGGGAAACCCUGAUGCAGCGACGCCGCGUGAGUGAAGAAGUAUUUCGGUAUGUAAAGCUCUAUCAGCAGGGAAGAAAAUGACGGUACCUGAUUAAGAAGCCCCGGCUAACUACGUGCCAGCAGCCGCGGUAAUACGUAGGGGGCAAGCGUUAUCCGGAUUUACUGGGUGUAAAGGGAGCGUAGACGGCAGCACAAGUCUGGAGUGAAAUGCCGGGGCUUAACCCCGGAACUGCUUUGGAAACUGUGCAGCUAGAGUGCAGGAGAGGUAAGUGGAAUUCCUAGUGUAGCGGUGAAAUGCGUAGAUAGUAGGAGGAACACCAGAGGCGAAGGCGGCUUACUGGACUGUAACUGACGUUGAGGCUCGAAAGCGUGGGGAGCGAACAGGAUUAGAUACCCUUGUAGUC
This 440-nucleotide ribosomal RNA is filed under the name uncultured bacterium. Its description in RNAcentral is "partial 16S ribosomal RNA". It matches the Rfam family "Bacterial small subunit ribosomal RNA", at positions 338 to 795 of the family's 1533-position model. The record is from RNAcentral.